This is a long non-coding RNA of Xyrauchen texanus (razorback sucker), 1339 nucleotides long. RefSeq lists it as uncharacterized. Lineage: Eukaryota; Metazoa; Chordata; Actinopteri; Cypriniformes; Catostomidae. The record is from RefSeq and is a predicted model, not a curated record. The transcript has 2 exons.
GUCAUGAGGAGGUCGCAAGCCAACUCUACCUUACAAACAAAUCUCACACAAGUAUACCUUUUACAAGGACAUGCAUUACAUACAUAAUCGUUUACUUGUGAUUGGCUAAGACAACAUAAAGUCUAAACAAUAAUACAUUUUUGAUAGAUAAGUGGGUAUAUCGCCGUUAAUCAGAAUAUUUGUCGUCCAUUUCCGAGAUUUAAGUCCGUGGUGACCUUCUUCCAGGGUCCGAGAAUGUUUUAGGCUAUAUCACAAAGUUCAGAACCUGCAAAGAAUAUCAAACGCACGCACACACAGAACACUGACAAAUAACAGUUCUCUUCGAGGCUGAAGAAGGCCUGAGCUAAUUAUCAGAAGAGCAUUCCACCUUAACAGGCUGAUAAAACAUUUCACUCCAGGAAAGCAGGAACUAUAAUAUGCCCCUUUACUCCACCCCCUAAAGAAAUACACGAGAUGUUCACUUAAUGAAAAUAAGGUGAAAUUAUGUAUAAAUUGACCCUCAAACUUAUACAAGUCAACUAAGACAGAUAUAUAGAUGCAGAUAUGUGGAUAUUGUUGUGAAAUAUGCAAUUAUUCUAUUCUAAUCAUGGCUUCUAGUAUAUGAAGUAUUUCUGGGUCAUAGUAAACCACAAUUGUAACUAAUAAAAAGUGGUUUUAUAAUGAAAGGUACCAUAAGUAGUUGUUAAACAAUUUAUUAAGAAUGUGUUUACUGUAAAACACUUGUAUUAAUAAUCAUUGUAACCAUAUAUUGAGAAAAUAAUUUAUUAAGAAAAACACCUCAACUUGUUUUAUAAAGAUUUUUAUUAUGAAGCUGGUUUAUUAAGGAAAAUACUGUAACUUCUUUUAUAAAUAUUCUUAUUAUGAAAAUGGUUUAUAAAGAAAAACAUACCACACUGAAUGUUGUAAGCAUUUAUUAAGCAGAUGAUGGUGGCAGAGUAGAGAGGAGUUGAAAAUGUAUUAGAAAGAGCUUUGCAAAAGAAAGGAGAAAAAUGCCAUCAUUACCGUCUACGUGUUGCAGACGAGAUACAGAAGAUACAGCGAUGAUGGAAAGGUCCAGAAAAAGAGGACAAAGAGUUUUAUAUGCAAAAUUCAAGAUUUUGUGUUUGACCAAUUGGCUGUAAAAGACUGAAUGUAUGCAGAGGGAGUUUCCAGGAGGGGAUUUCUGAACAUGUCAAAAAGUUGAUGGACUUUAAAAAGGACUGUAAAGAAAUGUCCAGCCAGAGGCAGAUUCACCAAGGACGUCUCCGGUGUUAGAUACCUUGCCAUUGCACCUCAUGAAGUUAAAAGCUUGUAAAUUAUUUGGUUUUGAUUUACUUACAAUAUAUAUAUAUAAUAUUAU